This 266-nucleotide ribosomal RNA is filed under the name uncultured bacterium. RNAcentral's name for it is "partial 16S ribosomal RNA". It matches the Rfam family "Bacterial small subunit ribosomal RNA", at positions 793 to 1055 of the family's 1533-position model. The record is from RNAcentral.
GUCCACGCUGUAAACGAUGAGCACUAGGUGUCGCGGGUAUUGACCCCUGCGGUGCCGACGCUAACGCAUUAAGUGCUCCGCCUGGGGACUACGGCCGCAAGGUUAAAACUCAAAGGAAUUGACGGGGGCCCGCACAAGCGGUGGAGCAUGUGGUUCAAUUCGACGCAACGCGAAGAACCUUACCUGGGCUAGACGACGGAGGACAGCCCCCAGAGAUGGGGUCUUCCCUUCGGGGACUUCCGGUUCAGGUGCUGCAUGGCUGUCGU